This 73-nucleotide transfer RNA is filed under the name Dorea sp. RNAcentral's name for it is "tRNA-Ala". It matches the Rfam family "tRNA". Rfam says of the family: Transfer RNA (tRNA) molecules are approximately 80 nucleotides in length. Lineage: Bacteria; Bacillati; Bacillota; Clostridia; Lachnospirales; Lachnospiraceae. The record is from RNAcentral.
GGGGCAUUAGCGCAGUUGGGAGCGCGCCACACUGGCAGUGUAGAGGCCACGGGUUCAAGUCCCGUAUGCUCCA